RNAcentral lists this ribosomal RNA (497 nucleotides) under uncultured bacterium. Its description in RNAcentral is "partial 16S ribosomal RNA". It matches the Rfam family "Bacterial small subunit ribosomal RNA", at positions 28 to 507 of the family's 1533-position model. The record is from RNAcentral.
GAUGAACGCUGGCGGCGUGCCUAAUACAUGCAAGUCGAGCGAACGGACGAGAAUCUUGCUUUUCUGAUGUUAGCGGCGGACGGGUGAUUAACACGUGUAUAACCUACCUAUAAGACUGGGAUAACUUCGGGAAACCUGAUCUAAUACCGGAUAAUAUUUUGAACCGCAUGGUUCAAAAGUGAAAAACGGUCUUGCUGUCACUUAUAGAUGGAUCCGCGCUGCAUUAGCUAGUUGGUAAGGUAACGGCUUACCAAGGCAACGAUGCAUAGCCGACCUGAGAGGGUGAUCGGCCACACUGGAACUGAGACACGGUCCAGACUCCUACGGGAGGCAGCAGUAGGGAAUCUUCCGCAAUGGGCGAAAGCCUGACGGAGCAACGCCGCGUGAGUGAUGAAGGUCUUCGGAUCGUAAAACUCUGUUAUUAGGGAAGAACGUAUGUGUAAGUAAAUGUGCACAUCUUGACGGUACCUAAACAGAAAGCAACGGCUAACUACGUG